This 328-nucleotide ribosomal RNA is filed under the name Salmonella enterica subsp. enterica serovar Wilhelmsburg. RNAcentral's name for it is "partial 23S ribosomal RNA". It matches the Rfam family "Bacterial large subunit ribosomal RNA", at positions 504 to 733 of the family's 2925-position model. Lineage: Bacteria; Pseudomonadati; Pseudomonadota; Gammaproteobacteria; Enterobacterales; Enterobacteriaceae. The record is from RNAcentral.
UGAGGGAAAGGCGAAAAGAACCCCGGCGAGGGGAGUGAAAAAGAACCUGAAACCGUGUACGUACAAGCAGUGGGAGCCCCACCACUAAGCCAGUGGUGAACUCCACAUACGCAUCCUUUGCUGAGGAUACGGUUAACGGAGCGAAAGCGACGUUCAACCGCAAAAGAAGCAGAGGGGGCUUAGUGGUGGGGUGACUGCGUACCUUUUGUAUAAUGGGUCAGCGACUUAUAUUCUGUAGCAAGGUUAACCGAAUAGGGGAGCCGGAGGGAAACCGAGUCUUAAUUGGGCGUUAAGUUGCAGGGUAUAGACCCGAAACCCGGUGAUCUAG